CCCUUAGAUGUCCUGGGCCGCACGCGCGCUACACUGACAUGUUCAACAAGUUUCUCCUAGUUCGACAGGACUGGAGAUCUUUGAACGCAUGUCGUGAUAGGGAUAGAUCAUUGCAAUUAUUGAUCUUGAACGAGGAAUUCCUAGUAAACGCGAGUCAUCAGCUCGCAUUGAUUACGUCCCUGCCCUUUGUACACACCGCCCGUCGCACCUACCGAUUGAAUGUUUCGGUGAAGAUUCCGGAUAGGACUGAUUUGAUUUAUUUCAUUUCUGACCUAAAAGCUAUCUAAACCUCAACAUUUAGAGGAAGGUGAAGUCGUAACA
Molecule: ribosomal RNA, 321 nt
Filed under: uncultured eukaryote
Lineage: Eukaryota
Description: partial 18S ribosomal RNA
Rfam family: Eukaryotic small subunit ribosomal RNA
Source: RNAcentral